This 98-nucleotide small nucleolar RNA is filed under the name Otolemur garnettii (small-eared galago). RNAcentral's name for it is "Small nucleolar RNA U3 (ENSOGAG00000023481.1)". The record is from RNAcentral. Lineage: Eukaryota; Metazoa; Chordata; Mammalia; Primates; Galagidae.
AAGACUAUAUUUUCAGGGAUCAUUUCUAUAAUUUGGUACUAAAUUGAACGGAACACAAUAUUUCCACAAACAGAGAGGUGGAGGGAGUCGGGAGUUAG